GGAGGGGUGGCAGAGUGGUUGAUUGCGACGGUCUUGAAAACCGUUGGCCCUCCGGGGCUCGUGGGUUCGAAUCCCACCCCCUCCGCCA
RNAcentral lists this transfer RNA (88 nucleotides) under Planctomycetota bacterium. RNAcentral's name for it is "tRNA-Ser". It matches the Rfam family "tRNA". From Rfam's summary of the family: Transfer RNA (tRNA) molecules are approximately 80 nucleotides in length. The record is from RNAcentral. Lineage: Bacteria; Pseudomonadati; Planctomycetota.